UUGACCCUUUUCUGUUUCCCAAUUCAGGACAGAUAUCCUGAGUAUAAACAGACACAUUUUUCUUGUCCGCAGGGUUUUGUACCAAACACAGGAAUUGCGAGUUACGUGACUGUGGCUGCAGAGAGAUCCGGACUGUGCGCCCUUUAUUAUACACUGUGUGAUUAAAGGGACAGUACUCAGUGUCUGUUUGUCUGCACUGCCAGCUGACGGACAGUGUGGAGGUGAUUGUAGGAACGGAGCAAUGGAGAGUAAAAUUACACCAGAUGGUGGAGUUUAUCAAUU
Pelobates cultripes (western spadefoot toad) is the source of this 282-nucleotide non-coding RNA. The record is from the annotation of a GenBank genome assembly. NCBI's taxonomy places the organism in Eukaryota, Metazoa, Chordata, Amphibia, Anura, Pelobatidae.